Molecule: ribosomal RNA, 292 nt
Filed under: uncultured bacterium
Lineage: Bacteria
Description: partial 16S ribosomal RNA
Rfam family: Bacterial small subunit ribosomal RNA
Source: RNAcentral
GUGUCAGCAGCCGCGGUAAUACGGAGGGAGCUAGCGUUGUUCGGAAUUACUGGGCGUAAAGCGCACGUAGGCGGCUAUUCAAGUCAGAGGUGAAAGCCCGGGGCUCAACCCCGGAAUAGCCUUUGAAACUAGAUAGCUAGAAUCUGGGAGAGGUGAGUGGAAUUCCGAGUGUAGAGGUGAAAUUCGUAGAUAUUCGGAAGAACACCAGUGGCGAAGGCGGCUCACUGGACCAGAAUUGACGCUGAGGUGCGAAAGCGUGGGGAGCAAACAGGAUUAGAUACCCGAGUAGUCC